Ameiurus melas (black bullhead) is the source of this 73-nucleotide non-coding RNA. The record is from the annotation of a GenBank genome assembly. Lineage: Eukaryota; Metazoa; Chordata; Actinopteri; Siluriformes; Ictaluridae.
UGCAUAGUGGUUUAGUGGUUAGCACAUUCACCUCGCACCUCCAGAGUUGGGGGUUUGAAUCCCGCCUCUGCCC